Molecule: ribosomal RNA, 268 nt
Filed under: uncultured bacterium
Lineage: Bacteria
Description: partial 16S ribosomal RNA
Rfam family: Bacterial small subunit ribosomal RNA
Source: RNAcentral
CGGACCGGCGCACGGGUGAGUAACACGUAUGCAACCUGCCCUCCGCAGGGGGAUAACCCGGAGAAAUCCGGACUAAUACCGCGUGGUACAUCUGUGGGGCAUCCCACGGGUGUUAAAAGGAAGCGAUUCCGGCGGAGGAUGGGCAUGCGGCGCAUUAGCUAGUUGGCGGGGUAACGGCCCACCAAGGCGAUGAUGCGUAGGGGUUCUGAGAGGAAGGUCCCCCACACUGGUACUGAGACACGGACCAGACUCCUACGGAAGGCAGCAG